UACAGAGGGUGCGAGCGUUAAUCGGAAUUACUGGGCGUAAAGCGUGCGUAGACGGUCAUGUAAGUCGGGUGUGAAAUCCCCGGGCUCAACCUGGGAAUUGCAUUCGAGACUGCGUGGCUAGGGUGCGGAAGAGGGAAGCGGAAUUUCCGGUGUAGCGGUGAAAUGCGUAGAUAUCGGAAGGAUCAUCAGUGGCGAAAGCGGCUUCCUGGUCCAGCACCGACGUUCAGGCGCGAAAGCGUGGGUAGCAAACAUG
Molecule: ribosomal RNA, 253 nt
Filed under: uncultured bacterium
Lineage: Bacteria
Description: partial 16S ribosomal RNA
Rfam family: Bacterial small subunit ribosomal RNA
Source: RNAcentral